This 490-nucleotide ribosomal RNA is filed under the name uncultured bacterium. Its description in RNAcentral is "partial 16S ribosomal RNA". It matches the Rfam family "Bacterial small subunit ribosomal RNA", at positions 30 to 507 of the family's 1533-position model. The record is from RNAcentral.
AUUGAGCGCUGGCGGCAGGCCUAACACAUGCAAGUCGAAUGGUAACAGGAAACAGCUUGCUGUUUCGCUGACGAGUGGCGGACGGGUGAGUAAUGUCUGGGAAACUGCCUGAUGGAGGGGGAUAACUACUGGAAACGGUAGCUAAUACCGCAUAACGUCGCAAGACCAAAGAGGGGGACCUUCGGGCCUCUUGCCAUCAGAUGUGCCCAGAUGGGAUUAGCUAGUAGGUGGGGUAACGGCUCACCUAGGCGACGAUCCCUAGCUAGUCUGAGGGGAUGACCAGCCACACUGGAACUGAGACACGGUCCAGACUCCUACGGGAGGCAGCAGUGGGGAAUAUUGCACAAUGGGCGCAAGCCUGAUGCAGCCAUGCCGCGUGUAUGAAGAAGGCCUUCGGGUUGUAAAGUACUUUCAGCGGGGAGGAAGGGAGUAAAGUUAAUACCUUUGCUCAUUGACGUUACCCGCAGAAGAAGCACCGGCUAACUCCGUG